RNAcentral lists this long non-coding RNA (715 nucleotides) under Gallus gallus (chicken). The record is from RNAcentral. Lineage: Eukaryota; Metazoa; Chordata; Aves; Galliformes; Phasianidae.
GGAACUCCUCACAGCGGAUGCCAACGUGGGACCAUCAUAUGGCAGGAAGGCUCUCCCUUAUCUCUGCUUCAUCAGUAUAAAAGAGCAUUGCUUAUCACUGCUCUGGCCUCAUCUUCCUUUGCCUCCACUUUGUUUUAUUUUUUGUUUGUUUGUUGCUUUUAUAAUGUCAACUCCCUUUGAUUUUACUGCAGUUACCACAGAGUACUGCCAUAUGAUUGAUACUCAGUCAAAAUGACAAAGCUUACCUUGUAUGCAUUCUUCAGAUGAUCAUAAUAGACUUCCUCAAUAGCUUGAAAAUAAAUUACACCUUUUAAUUUAGUUUCGUGUUUGUCUGCGUAAUACGUAAAAGUUCUCUUGUUUCUGUCAAAAACAAACCAUCGUUUUUUCCAUGUUUUAAUUUUUCCUCCCAUCUUAAUCAGAAAGCCUCGGCAGGUCUUCUCUGUGAGGGAGACGUGGUAACAGGUCUCUAUGUUGUGACCAGCUGUUUCAAUAUGACUUCGUAGAUCAAAGUCUUCCUUUCUAAUGGGCAAAUAGCGAGUCAAUGGACGAGCCUGUGCUCUUUGUUUCUCUCGUAUCUUCACUUCCUUUUCAAUUAGUUUUUGCCUUUGGCUAGUUUCUUCUUCCAGUCUUUUUUCCAGUUGUUCUCUACGGCGUUUCUCUUCUUCCAGAGCUCGCUUUUUAGCUUCCAUCUCCCGUUCCCUGGACUCAAGCAGCC